CAGCACCUCAAGUGGUCAGGAUGAUUAUUGGGCCUAAAGCAUCCGUAGCCGGCGCUGUAAGUUUUCGGUUAAAUCUGUACGCUCAACGUACAGGCUGCCGGGAAUACUGCAGCGCUAGGGAGUGGGAGAGGUAGACGGUACUCGGUAGGAAGGGGUAAAAUCCUUUGAUCUAUUGAUGACCACCUGUGGCGAAGGCGGUCUACCAGAACACGUCCGACGGUGAGGGAUGAAAGCUGGGGGAGCAAACCGGAUUAGAUACCCGCGUAGUGC
Molecule: ribosomal RNA, 270 nt
Filed under: uncultured archaeon
Lineage: Archaea
Description: partial 16S ribosomal RNA
Rfam family: Archaeal small subunit ribosomal RNA
Source: RNAcentral